CAAUUAUUUCAUAAACUUUUGAGAAAUACUGUUAAAAGAUAUAGCAACAUUCAGAAUUUAACUUACUCUUUCUGUACUAGGAGUUGGAUUUUUCCCAAUGCAACGCAACAAUUAAAUACACUUUGCCAAAUAAGUUAACGGGGAGAAAGAUGGGAGUUGGCAUUUUAAUUUAUGAAAAGUACAAAUAAUAUCAUCACUAACUUGUACAGCACAACUGGGGAGAACUACAGUCUUGUCUGGAACUGGAAGAAAGACUGAAAGAAUACAGACAACUGAAUGACUGAUGGUGAAGAAUAAGAUCUACCAAUAAAUAUAACGAAGAAACCAGCUGCUGUGUAUCAUAGUAAUGCUGCUUAUUACUGAAUCUUCUCAGUGCAGCCCAUAAAGGGGAAUUUCCAUGGCAAGAUGGGAUGUUUGGAAAUGGAUGAUAAUUAGCAGAUGAGAAGUUGUCUCCAAAGCAGCUUUACCUACCACACUUCAAAGAAAUGACAGAUGAACUAAGUUUGCGAAGAGAAGGAAACUCACCUCGGGGAUCAAGAGGUCCAGUAUGAGGAAUGGAGGGAGGCAGCCACAUCUGGCGAGUGACAGAGACAUCAGUAUGGUGCACAAGAAUUGCCAAGCUUCAGAGAGAUCUACUCAGUUGAACUUCUGUACUCAGUGCCAGCUGUAUCAAGUAUACAAGCAUUUAGGCAGCUCUACUGUUUCAUUUUUGCUGCUCAGAAUUAUCCCUGAAUAUCUAACUAGAAAUGGCAGAGAACCCAAACAAAAUUAAAUUAAUC
This is a long non-coding RNA of Gopherus flavomarginatus (Mexican gopher tortoise), 779 nucleotides long. RefSeq lists it as uncharacterized. The transcript has 3 exons. The record is from RefSeq and is a predicted model, not a curated record. NCBI's taxonomy places the organism in Eukaryota, Metazoa, Chordata, Testudines, Testudinidae.